This 408-nucleotide ribosomal RNA is filed under the name uncultured Christiangramia sp. RNAcentral's name for it is "bacterial SSU rRNA". It matches the Rfam family "Bacterial small subunit ribosomal RNA", at positions 1088 to 1504 of the family's 1533-position model. The record is from RNAcentral. Lineage: Bacteria; Pseudomonadati; Bacteroidota; Flavobacteriia; Flavobacteriales; Flavobacteriaceae.
UAUAACGAGCGCAACCCCUGUGGUUAGUUGCCAGCACGUAAUGGUGGGAACUCUAGCCAGACUGCCGGUGCAAACCGUGAGGAAGGUGGGGAUGACGUCAAAUCAUCACGGCCCUUACGUCCUGGGCCACACACGUGCUACAAUGGUAGGGACAGAGGGCAGCUACCCCGCGAGGGGAUGCGAAUCUUCAAACCCUAUCACAGUUCGGAUCGCAGUCUGCAACUCGACUGCGUGAAGCUGGAAUCGCUAGUAAUCGCAUAUCAGCCAUGAUGCGGUGAAUACGUUCCCGGGCCUUGUACACACCGCCCGUCAAGCCAUGGAAGCCGGGGGUACCUGAAGUCGGUCACCGCAAGGAGCCGCCUAGGGUAAGACUGGUAACUGGGGCUAAGUCGUAACAAGGUAACCGUA